GUCAGGGUGGCCGAGUAGUUUAAGGCGCCAGACUCAAGAUCUCGUCCUCUUACGAGGGUGUGGGUUUCAAACCCCACUUCUGACA
Molecule: non-coding RNA, 85 nt
Organism: Triticum aestivum (bread wheat)
Lineage: Eukaryota; Viridiplantae; Streptophyta; Magnoliopsida; Poales; Poaceae
Source: Rfam